This 479-nucleotide ribosomal RNA is filed under the name uncultured bacterium. RNAcentral describes it as "partial 16S ribosomal RNA". It matches the Rfam family "Bacterial small subunit ribosomal RNA", at positions 28 to 507 of the family's 1533-position model. The record is from RNAcentral.
GAUGAACGCUAGCGGGAGGCCUAACACAUGCAAGCCGAGCGGUAUUGUUUCUUCGGAAAUGAGAGAGCGGCGUACGGGUGCGUAACACGUGUGCAACCUGCCUUUAUCUGGGGGAUAGCCUUUCGAAAGGAAGAUUAAUACUCCAUAAUAUAUUGAACGGCAUCGUUUAAUAUUGAAAGCUCCGGCGGCUAGAGAUGGGCACGCGCAAGAUUAGCUAGUUGGUGAGGUAACGGCUCACCAAGGCGAUGAUCUUUAGGGGGCCUGAGAGGGUGAUCCCCCACACUGGUACUGAGACACGGACCAGACUCCUACGGGAGGCAGCAGUGAGGAAUAGUAGUCAAUGGGGGCAAGCCUGAACCAGCCAUCCCGCGUGAAGGACGACUGCCCUAUGGGUUGUAAACUUCUUUUGUAUAGGGAUAAACCUACCCUCGUGAGGGUAGCUGAAGGUACUAUACGAAUAAGCACCGGCUAACUCCGUG